GACGAACGCUGGCGGCGUGCCUAAUACAUGCAAGUCGAACGAAGCUGUUUUAACUGGUGCUUGCACCGACUUAAACAACUGAGUGGCGAACGGGUGAGUAACACGUGGGUAACCUGCCCCAAAGCGGGGGAUAACAUUUGGAAACAGAUGCUAAUACCGCAUAACCACAGAAACCACAUGGUUUCUGUGUCAAAGAUGGUUUCGUCUAUCACUUUGGGAUGGACCCGCGGCGUAUUAGCUAGUUGGGAAGGUAAUGGCUAACCAAGGGAAUGAUACGUAGCCGAACUGAGAGGUUGAGCGGCCACAUUGGGACUGAGACACGGCCCAAACUCCUACGGGAGGUAGCAGUAGGGGAUCUUCCACAAUGGACGAAAGUCUGAUGGAGCAACGCCGCGUGAGUGAAGAAGGUUUUCGGAUCGUAAAACUCUGUUGUCAGAGAAGAACGUGUGCGAGAGUAACUGCUCGUGCAGUGACGGUAUCUGGCCAGAAAGCCACGGCUAACUACGUGCCAGCCGCCGCAGUAA
Molecule: ribosomal RNA, 524 nt
Filed under: uncultured bacterium
Lineage: Bacteria
Description: partial 16S ribosomal RNA
Rfam family: Bacterial small subunit ribosomal RNA
Source: RNAcentral